RNAcentral lists this ribosomal RNA (116 nucleotides) under Escherichia coli. Lineage: Bacteria; Pseudomonadati; Pseudomonadota; Gammaproteobacteria; Enterobacterales; Enterobacteriaceae. The record is from RNAcentral.
UUGAGCCGAUGUAGCGCGGUGGUCCCACCUGACCCCAUGCCGAACUCAGAAGUGAAACGCCGUAGCGCCGAUGGUAGUGUGGGGUCUCCCCAUGCGAGAGUAGGGAACUGCCAGGC